Neofelis nebulosa (Clouded leopard) is the source of this 533-nucleotide long non-coding RNA. RefSeq lists it as uncharacterized. The transcript has 6 exons. Lineage: Eukaryota; Metazoa; Chordata; Mammalia; Carnivora; Felidae. The record is from RefSeq and is a predicted model, not a curated record.
CAGAAGAAAAGUGAUAUUCCUGCCAUCCAAAUUCUGAGGGAUGCAUCUACCAUAACUUUGAGACCUUAAGAAAAAGUAAAGAAGCUCUUUUAACAGCUCUUUUUGUGAACUCUGCAACCUGAGUCAAUUGUACAAAAAACAGCAACUUCUUGGAUACAGAAGAUCCUGCAACUCCAGGACACUUGAACAUUUCCUACGAGACACUUGACAUUGAAUUUAAGGCCUACCGGAUAACCCAGGAUAAUCUCCCCUCUCAAGAUCCUUAAAUGAAUUCAACCUGACAAUACUCAUCUAUCCAAUAAGGUUUAAAUGUGAUUCCUAACAAAAGCUUUGGGGAAACUUGAAGGAUAGGAAGACGCUUCUUUGAAAACCAUGAAAAGUGCCCUCACCAGACAUUGGAUCUACUGGCACCUUGAUCUUGGACUUCCCAGUCUCCAAAACUGCUUCAUGCCCAGUGUGAAGCCCACUGAGGGGCCUGAACCCAUGACCCCAAGACCAAGACCCAAGAUGGGAUUAAGAGUCAGAAGCUCAAC